Molecule: ribosomal RNA, 200 nt
Filed under: uncultured bacterium
Lineage: Bacteria
Description: partial 16S ribosomal RNA
Rfam family: Bacterial small subunit ribosomal RNA
Source: RNAcentral
GAUGAACGCUAGCGGCAGGCUUAAUACAUGCAAGGCGAAGGGGCAGCAAUGUCACUGUCGUACGGGUGCGUAACGCGUAUGCAACCUACCUAUCACUGGGGGAUAGCCCGGGGAAACCCGGAUUAAUACCGCAUAACACAGGGGCUCCUCAUGGAGAUAUUUGUUAAAAGAUUUAUCGGUGGUAGAUGGGCAUGUGUUCG